Molecule: ribosomal RNA, 194 nt
Filed under: uncultured bacterium
Lineage: Bacteria
Description: partial 16S ribosomal RNA
Rfam family: Bacterial small subunit ribosomal RNA
Source: RNAcentral
GCAACUCGCCUGCAUGAGGCUGGAAUUGCUAGUAAUCGCGGAUCAGCAAGCCGCGGUGAAUACGUUCCCGGGCCUUGUACACACCGCCCGUCACACCAUGAGAGUCGGGAACACCCGAAGUCCGUAGUCUAACCGCAAGGGGGGCGCGGCCGAAGGUGGGUCCGGUAAUUGGGGUGAAGUCGUAACAAGGUACC